This 310-nucleotide ribosomal RNA is filed under the name Heliococcus clemente. RNAcentral's name for it is "eukaryotic LSU rRNA". Lineage: Eukaryota; Metazoa; Arthropoda; Insecta; Hemiptera; Pseudococcidae. The record is from RNAcentral.
AAACCGUUCGGGGGAAAACGGACAGAGCCCGUGAAUCCGGACGGCAGAAUUCAGAAUUGGCCGCUUCGCGGCGGCCAGUUUGAUAUUUCUGUCGUCGCACGUUUUUUCACGGACGUCGCGACCCGUUUGGCGUCGGUCUGAGGAGACGCGUUUCACGUUCGUUGACGCGUCGUCGACUCGUUCGGCGCGCGUUGCGAGUACGCGUUCGUAUUCCGGCCGACUCGCCAGACGGUAAGUGUGCGGGUGACCGUGGCGACCCGAGCGUCGUCCACGGUGCCGGUCUGCGACGAAUCUUCGGGUCUCUUUCCNA